RNAcentral lists this ribosomal RNA (498 nucleotides) under uncultured bacterium. RNAcentral's name for it is "partial 16S ribosomal RNA". It matches the Rfam family "Bacterial small subunit ribosomal RNA", at positions 28 to 507 of the family's 1533-position model. The record is from RNAcentral.
GACGAACGCUGGCGGCGUGCCUAAUACAUGCAAGUCGAACGAGAGCAACCGGUGCUUGCACUGGUCAAUCUAGUGGCGAACGGGUGAGUAACACGUGGGUAACCUGCCCAUCAGAGGGGGAUAACAUCCGGAAACGGAUGCUAAAACCGCAUAGGUCUUCGAACCGCAUGGUUUGAAGAGGAAAAGAGGCGCAAGCUUCUGCUGAUGGAUGGACCCGCGGUGCAUUAGCUAGUUGGUGAGGUAACGGCUCACCAAGGCCGUGAUGCAUAGCCGACCUGAGAGGGUGAUCGGCCACAUUGGGACUGAGUCACGGCCCAAACUCCUACGGGAGGCAGCAGUAGGGAAUCUUCCGCAAUGGACGCAAGUCUGACGGAGCAACGCCGCGUGAGUGAAGAAGGUUUUCGGAUCGUAAAACUCUGUUGUUAGAGAAGAACAAGUGCUAGAGUAACUGUUAGCGCCUUGACGGUAUCUAACCAGAAAGCCACGGCUAACUACGUG